RNAcentral lists this ribosomal RNA (253 nucleotides) under uncultured bacterium. RNAcentral's name for it is "partial 16S ribosomal RNA". It matches the Rfam family "Bacterial small subunit ribosomal RNA", at positions 524 to 776 of the family's 1533-position model. The record is from RNAcentral.
UACGUAGGUGGCAAGCGUUGUCCGGAUUUACUGGGCGUAAAGCGCGCGCAGGUGGCCUGUCAAGUCUAGGGUGAAAUCUCCCGGCUCAACCGGGAGAGGUCUCUGGAUACUGGCAGGCUCGAGGGCAGCAGAGGAGAGCAGAAUUCCCGGUGUAGCGGUGAUAUGCGUAGAUAUCGGGAGGAAUACCAGUGGCGAAGGCGGCUCUCUGGGCUGUCCCUGACGCUGAGGCGCGAAAGCGUGGGGAGCAAACCGG